UAACAAGGAUUCCCCUAGUAACUGCGAGUGAAGCGGGAAAAGCUCAAAUUUAAAAUCUGGCGGUCUUUGGCCGUCCGAGUUGUAGUCUGGAGAAGUGCUUUCCGCGCUGGACCGUGUAUAAUUCUCUUGGAACAGAGCGUCGUAGAGGGUGAGAAUCCCGUCUUUGACACGGACUACCAGUGCUUUGUGAUGCGCUCUCAAAGAGUCGAGUUGUUUGGGAAUGCAGCUCAAAAUGGGUGGUAAAUUCCAUCUAAAGCUAAAUAUUGGCGAGAGACCGAUAGCGAACAAGUACCGUGAGGGAAAGAUGAAAAGCACUUUGGAAAGAGAGUUAAACAGUACGUGAAAUUGCUGAAAGGGAAACACUUGAAGUCAGUCGCGUUGGCCGGAACUCAGCCUUGCUUUCGCUUGGUGCACUUUCCGGUUGACGGGCCAGCAUCGAUUUCGACCGGCGGAAAAGGGUUGGAGAAAUGUGGCACCCUCGGGUGUGUUAUAGUCUCUAGUCGCAUACGUCGGUGGGGAUCGAGGAUCGCAGCGCGCCGCAAGGCAGGGGUUCGCCCACUUUCGCGCUUAGGAUGCUGGCAUAAUGGCUUUAAAUGACCCGUCUUGAAACACGGACCAAGGAGUCUAACAUGCCUGCGAGUGUUUGGGUGGAAAACCCGAGCGCGUAAUGAAAGUGAAAGUUGAGACCUCUGUCGUGGAGGGCAUCGACGCCCGGACCUGACGUUCUCUGACGGAUCCGCGGUAGAGCAUGUAUGUUGGGACCCGAAAGAUGGUGAACUAUGCCUGAAUAGGGUGAAGCCAGAGGAAACUCUGGUGGAGGCUCGUAGCGAUUCUGACGUGCAAAUCGAUCGUCAAAUUUGGG
Molecule: ribosomal RNA, 862 nt
Filed under: Daedalea confragosa
Lineage: Eukaryota; Fungi; Basidiomycota; Agaricomycetes; Polyporales; Fomitopsidaceae
Description: partial 28S ribosomal RNA
Rfam family: Eukaryotic large subunit ribosomal RNA
Source: RNAcentral